CCUACGGGUGGCAGCAGUGAGGAAUAUUGGUCAAUGGACGAGAGUCUGAACCAGCCAAGUAGCGUGAAGGAUGACUGCCCUAUGGGUUGUAAACUUCUUUUAUAUGGGAAUAAAAUGUUCCACGUGUGGGAUUUUGUCUGUACCAUAUGAAUAAGGAUCGGCUAACUCCGUGCCAGCAGCCGCGGUAAUACGGAGGAUCCGAGCGUUAUCCUGAUUUAUUGGGUUUAAAGGGAGCGUAGGUGGAUUGUUAAGUCAGUUGUGAAAGUUUGCGGCUCAACCGUAACAUUGCAGUUGAAACUGGCAGUCUUGAGUACAGUAGAGGUGGGCGGAAUUCGUGGUGUAGCGGUGAAAUGCUUAGAUAUCACGAAGAACUCCGAUUGCGAAGGCAGUUCACUGGACUGCAACUGACACUGAGGCUCGAAAGUGUGGGUAUCAAACAGGAUUAGAUACCCUAGUAGUC
RNAcentral lists this ribosomal RNA (460 nucleotides) under uncultured bacterium. Its description in RNAcentral is "partial 16S ribosomal RNA". It matches the Rfam family "Bacterial small subunit ribosomal RNA", at positions 338 to 795 of the family's 1533-position model. The record is from RNAcentral.